AAAAAAACCUCUGCAUGCCAUUGAAAGCUUUCAAAGCAGCACCACUACUGCCGAUGCUCCAGAGGAAGCAGGAACUGCGGCUGCUGACGGCAACAAGUAAAGAAGAGUAUGAUGAAGGGGAAAUCAUGAUACUAUCAUCCAUCCAUCAUCAACCUCUUCCCUCAUGUCAACGAAACUCCCCCACCUGUUCCCUGCUGAGUGGAGAGUUAUUCGUGACGGGGUUAAUGCUGCUGGACCAAGGGAGAGAAUAGAGAAAGAAACAUCUGAGAAAAAGCGAAGUAUUGUAGCAUUGCAUGUGAACGCAACACAUGCUGACCACACGAAUGUCAAGUAAGCCUCACAUGGCAGAGAAGCCCAUCCCUUGCACCCUCCAUCAGAGUUUAAUGGACUACUUCAGACUGCAGGCCUCCCCAGAGAGGGAUUUGUGUAAGGUCAGGGUCAGGGUGUGUGCGUGCGUACGUACAUGAACAUGUUUGUGUAUAAGGGUGUCUGCGUACUGUCAGGAUGGGAAUGUCCAGGGAAAAAUAAAAUUGCCACUUUUGAAUUUCUUUAUAAUAGUAGAGAUUCAGGAAAUCUGUCCAGCUGAUGAUGUAUUUCCA
This is a long non-coding RNA of Oncorhynchus tshawytscha (Chinook salmon), 599 nucleotides long. The record is from Ensembl. NCBI's taxonomy places the organism in Eukaryota, Metazoa, Chordata, Actinopteri, Salmoniformes, Salmonidae.